Molecule: signal recognition particle RNA, 299 nt
Filed under: Aotus nancymaae (Ma's night monkey)
Lineage: Eukaryota; Metazoa; Chordata; Mammalia; Primates; Aotidae
Description: Metazoan signal recognition particle RNA (ENSANAG00000007143.1)
Rfam family: Metazoan signal recognition particle RNA
About the family: The signal recognition particle (SRP) is a universally conserved ribonucleoprotein. It is involved in the co-translational targeting of proteins to membranes.
Source: RNAcentral
GCCAGGCGCAGUGGCGCGUGCCUGUAGUCCCAGCUACUCGGGAGGCUGAGGUGGGAGGAUCACUCGAGCCCAGGAGUUCUGGGCUGUAGUGCGCUAUGCCAAUCAGGUGUCCGCACUAAGUUCGGCAUCAAUAUGGUGACCUUCCGGGAGUGGGGGACAACCAGGUUGCCUAAGGAGGGGUGAACUGGCCCAGGUCGGAAAUGGAGCAGGUCAAAACUCCCGUGCUGAUCAGUAGUGGGAUCGCGCCUGUGAAUAGCCACUGCACUCCAGCCUGGGCAACAUAGCGAGACCCUGUCUCU